Cricetulus griseus (Chinese hamster) is the source of this 1242-nucleotide non-coding RNA. NCBI's taxonomy places the organism in Eukaryota, Metazoa, Chordata, Mammalia, Rodentia, Cricetidae. The record is from RefSeq and is a predicted model, not a curated record.
UGUAGAAAUACAUAGAUUAGUAGUUAUGGGUUAAUAAUUAAGACAGAGCUAGCCAAUAAGAAGCCCUAGCCAUUGGCCGACAGUUUUAUAAUUAACAUAGCAUCCAAAUAAAUGCUGAUAGUAAGCAAAGAGCAUACUAUCUGAGGCCACAAGUUCUGGCCAGGCUGGAAGUUUCUAAUUUGUGAUAACAUGCCUAAUCCAAUAAUAGUUCAUGCAAAAGCAUCGACUGUAAUUAUCUCAUCAUUUUUCUAGAAAUGAGUUUCUCAAUUUCAGCACAGAAAAUGACUCAUUAACCUAGUUCAGAAACUCCCCAUUUUCUGACAGGACUGAUAAAGCCUGACUCCUGUUUCUUUUCUUGGCUCGGGAUUAGAAACCAGUGUAUUUUCUGUUUGUUAACAGAGCUGGUUCUUGAGCCAUUUGCAAAUACCUACAGUUAAUUUUUCAAGGCCACAGAACCAAUAUUUAUAACUCCUAUGCUCUAGUGCCGCCUAGUGGUGACCAGCAAGAAUGGAAUACAGAUACUGGAGAUAAUGUGCUGAGCUACACUGAAAAUCUCAGCCCAGUUCUAGCAACUGCUGUGGUGAAUAUUGCAAAGCCAACUAGUUUCAGAAAUGCAUCUGUACCUAACUUCACCUCAUGGAACCACCUAUCUCCUAGAACCACCUUGCUUUAGUGGAAGUGAAUCUUCUACCCUUCAUCCCUUCAAAUGAAGAAGAGUUCUGAGAUGCACAAGGCUCCUGGAUGACCAUGGAGAGAUGGAAGUAGUUGGUGCACACUUUGAAGUACUUUUUUGAAGUUAGAAGAAGCCAAGCCUGCCGAGUUUCCUCCCCUUCUUCUUCUGAAGGAAUACACUGGGCCUGCUUAUCCCUGAAGCAUUCACUUCCAAAUAUAACUUUUGCAAAUGGAAGCAUAGAGAAAUCAAGUGGUCACACACGUCUGGCAUUUGACCCUUUGCUUGUCUCUUUAUUCUGUGCAUGGGCCCUUUUGCCAGUUUGUUUGCAACUGACAUCAUAGACUCACAGGUUGGGGGGUAGGGGCAAAGUUCAGACAUUCGGAGCCUGCACUGCCGCUAAGGGAAGGAAGGGUUUCCCAGCCUCACAGAUUCAAGUUGGCCACCAACAGAUAGAUCUCACUGCCCAGGACAGUGCAGUCUGCAGUUCACUUUAGCACAAAUAUCCUGGGUUAGAAACUCUCAACAUCCAGGAGACACUUCCUACCAAUAAACAUGGGUUUGCUGGCUCA